ACUUUCUCUUCUCCAUCAACAAUGCCCUGAUCAAGUGUGGCUUGUUUUUCUAGCAGAAACACUCCCUCAAUAAGCUAAAAAAUGUUGUCGUUUUUGCUCUCUCGCGCUUCACGCAACACCACCACUAGAAGGUUACUCAGUUCCUCUCUCUCCUCUUCGCUUUCUCUUUUCAACGACACAGUCAUCGUCUCUCCAAGUCGCCCAUCAGAACCAAACCCUAAGACUAACCAGAUCAUCCGUACACUUUACCCAUUUACUCAAUCUUACUACUGGAGGAAUUUCGAAUUUUCCCGCAACUAUCUGAACUCUAAUUACUCCAAUUUGAGGUUUGUUGGAGGAAUUUCCACUUUGUCGAGCCCGAAGAGCGAGGAUAAUCGGGAGAAUGGAGGGUUGUCGAAAGAAGGAGAGGUGUCUUGGAUUGAUUUGUACUUGCCGAGACUGGUUCGCCCUUAUGCACGGCUUGCUCGACUUGAUAAGCCGAUAGGAACUUGGCUGCUUGCUUGGCCUUGUCGAUUACGUUGGCAGCAACCCCAGGGCACCUUCCUGAUUUUAAGAUGAUGACUUUAUUUGGUUGCGGGGCUUUGCUUUUAAGGGGUGCUGGAUGUACCAUAAAUGAUCUCCUUGAUAGAGAUAUUGAUACCAAGGUGGAGCGUACGAAGUUGAGACCAGUUGCAAGUGGUCUUUUGUCACCAUUUCAAGGGCUUUGUUUUCUUGGUUUUCAAUUGCUCUUGGGUCUUGGAAUUCUCCUUCAACUAAAUAAUUAUAGCCGCAUUUUGGGAGCUUCAUCCUUGUUGCUAGUCUUCUCCUAUCCCCUCAUGAAGAGAUUGACAUUUUGGCCUCAAGCCUAUCUAGGUUUGACAUUUAACUGGGGAGCUUUGUUAGGUUGG
This 887-nucleotide unclassified non-coding RNA is filed under the name Hevea brasiliensis (rubber tree). The record is from RNAcentral. Lineage: Eukaryota; Viridiplantae; Streptophyta; Magnoliopsida; Malpighiales; Euphorbiaceae.